GGGGCUGGUGCCCCCGCGGGUUAACGCGGCGCACUUAAACCGGAGUGACCUGCCGUGUGCUUUAUGUAUGUGACGAUGGAAGCGGAGAUAGUGCCCCUGGACUUGUCUUGUCCCAUGUAAUCCCGACAGCCAUCACGUUUGUUUCCCGUCCAAUUGAAUUCUAGCUCGCUGCCGAAAAAGCUCCCCAGCCUUAGGUUCACAGGGGGAAGAUUUGUGUGUUUGAAGAUCAUGAAGUCCUACUAGUAUCCACCUUUCAGAAAUUUUAGCGCCUGUAGAAGAGCAAAAUAUGAAAGUUGCUGUUACGUGAUUGAUGUUAGGGUCGUUAGCUGCAAAUUCAGAUUUAGUGACUUCUUUUUUUAAGGCAAGCUGAGCAAAUCGCGCUGCAGAGAGGCAAACAGCAGUGUUCUGGAGUAAAGCUUAGAGUGACAUUGAUGACUGCACUUCAUGGCAUCUAAAAGGCUUUUCUGCAGUUUUUCCCUCCAGGAAUGGACUUACAUGCUACAGUGGCUUUUCAGAAGUUUGUGCUUUCCACAAUAUCAUAGAAAAGUUGGGGUUAGAAGGGACCUUAAAGAUCAUAUAGUUUCACACCCCCAAUGGCAUCUUGCUUUUGUUCUCUCCACCUUUCAACAAGUUCUUUUAUGUUACAAAAAGAAAAAUAGCCCUUUUGGCAUUUGCUGUCCUCAGUUGCUAGAAUUGAAAUGGUGAUGUAUGAAAUGCACAUAUGGAAAUAGAGAAUGUGUUGGAAUUAAAGCUUUUUUUUGUUAGCAUCAGUUAUUUAGAAACUUAAAUUGGAUUAGUUUAUUUGAAAUGCUUCAUGAGAUAAUCUUGGAAGGCAGCAACAAGGUGUCAGGAUAAGGACAGAAAUCUGUGUCAGUGUUGUUGAAGACAAGGAGUACUAAAGUAUGAAAAUGUUUUUAAUGUGUAGCAACUGCAUAUUGCUGCUAGGCUGUGUUUAAAGUUCUGCAUUCAUGCCAUUAAAAUGUUUAUUCCUACAAUGGCCAGACUCUUUCCUCUACUCUGUAAUGUGUAAGUGUAUGCACACACUUUUUAGAUUAAAUACUUUCACAUGAAUUUGAGAUUUUCUCUAUAAACAACAGACACUUGAAUUAUUUAAAGUUACUUUAAAACAUUUACAAUAUAAAAAGUUUUGCACAAGGCUGACAGGUGAAAUGCUUCUGCAUUUGUUCUUUCUGUAAAUCAGGCUUCUGUCAGAAUUUGUAUUGGAACUUUGCUAGCACGUAAACUCAAAUACUCUUGGAUUAGAUACAAAAAAAAGGCCAACAACCCAGAACACCAAAACCAACAUCUGAAAAAUCUAACAACUGUAAUAGUUUUUGGUUUAUAGCAUUUCUAAAUUAGUUCUGGAUAUGAAGUAUUUUCUUGUCCAUGUGGUGAAACUGUUUUGAAGCCUUUGCCCUAAUCAGGACCAUGUUCAAGAGGAGCAGAAUAAAAAUAGAAUCUUGGCUGAGUCUGUGAGGGCA
This 1481-nucleotide long non-coding RNA is filed under the name Cyanistes caeruleus (blue tit). RNAcentral describes it as "lncRNA (ENSCCEG00000000693.1)". The record is from RNAcentral. Lineage: Eukaryota; Metazoa; Chordata; Aves; Passeriformes; Paridae.